This 897-nucleotide ribosomal RNA is filed under the name Wolbachia pipientis. RNAcentral's name for it is "bacterial SSU rRNA". It matches the Rfam family "Bacterial small subunit ribosomal RNA", at positions 68 to 1005 of the family's 1533-position model. Lineage: Bacteria; Pseudomonadati; Pseudomonadota; Alphaproteobacteria; Rickettsiales; Anaplasmataceae. The record is from RNAcentral.
UUGUAGCCCUUCUAUGGUAUAACUUAGUGGCAGACGGGUGAGUAAUGUAUAGGAAUCUACCUAGUAGUACGGAAUAAUUGUUGGAAACGACAACUAAUACCGUAUACGCCCUACGGGGGAAAAAUUUAUUGCUAUUAGAUGAGCCUAUAUUAGAUUAGCUAGUUGGUGGGGUAAUAGCCUACCAAGGUAAUGAUCUAUAGCUGAUCUGAGAGGAUGAUCAGCCACACUGGAACUGAGAUACGGUCCAGACUCCUACGGGAGGCAGCAGUGGGGAAUAUUGGACAAUGGGCGAAAGCCUGAUCCAGCCAUGCCGCAUGAGUGAAGAAGGCCUUUGGGUUGUAAAGCUCUUUUAGUGAGGAAGAUAAUGACGGUACUCACAGAAGAAGUCCUGGCUAACUCCGUGCCAGCAGCCGCGGUAAUACGGAGAGGGCUAGCGUUAUUCGGAAUUAUUGGGCGUAAAGGGCGCGUAGGCUGGUUAAUAAGUUAAAAGUGAAAUCCCGAGGCUUAACCUUGGAAUUGCUUUUAAAACUAUUAAUCUAGAGAUUGAAAGAGGAUAGGGGAAUUCCUGAUGUAGAGGUAAAAUUCGUAAAUAUUAGGAGGAACACCAGUGGCGAAGGCGUCUAUCUGGUUCAAAUCUGACGCUGAAGCGCGAAGGCGUGGGGAGCAAACAGGAUUAGAUACCCUGGUAGUCCACGCUGUAAACGAUGAAUGUUAAAUAUGGGGAGUUUACUUUCUGUAUUACAGCUAACGCGUUAAACAUUCCGCCUGGGGACUACGGUCGCAAGAUUAAAACUCAAGGAAUUGACGGGGACCCGCACAAGCGGUGGAGCAUGUGGUUUAAUUCGAUGCAACGCGAAAAACCUUACCACUUCUAGACAUGAAAUAAAACCCUAUUCC